GAUGAACGCUGGCGGCGUGCUUAACACAUGCAAGUCGAACGGAAAGGCCCAAGCUUGCUUGGGUACUCGAGUGGCGAACGGGUGAGUAACACGUGGGUGAUCUGCCCUGCACUUCGGGAUAAGCCUGGGAAACUGGGUCUAAUACCGGAUAGGACCACUUCUUGGAUGUUGUGGUGGAAAGUUUUUUCGGUGUGGGAUGAGCUCGCGGCCUAUCAGCUUGUUGGUGGGGUAAUGGCCUACCAAGGCGUCGACGGGUAGCCGGCCUGAGAGGAUGACCAGCCAGACGGGAACUGAGACAGGGUCCAGACUCUGACGGGAGGCAGCAGUGGGGAAUAUUGCACAAUGGGGGAAAGCCUGAUGCAGCCAUGCGGGGGGUAUGAAGAAGGCCUUCGGGUUGGAAAGUACUUUCAGCGGGGAGGAAGGGAGGAAAGUUAAUAACGUUGGUCAUUGACGUUACCCGCAGAAGAAGCACCGGCUAACUCCGUG
This 486-nucleotide ribosomal RNA is filed under the name uncultured bacterium. Its description in RNAcentral is "partial 16S ribosomal RNA". It matches the Rfam family "Bacterial small subunit ribosomal RNA", at positions 28 to 507 of the family's 1533-position model. The record is from RNAcentral.